AUUGAACGCUGGCGGCAUGCCUUACACAUGCAAGUCGAACGGUAACAGGUCUUCGGAUGCUGACGAGUGGCGAACGGGUGAGUAAUAUAUCGGAACGUGCCCAGUCGUGGGGGAUAACGCAGCGAAAGCUGUGCUAAUACCGCAUACGAUCUAUGGAUGAAAGCGGGGGAUCGCAAGACCUCGCGCGAUUGGAGCGGCCGAUAUCAGAUUAGGUAGUUGGUGGGGUAAAGGCCUACCAAGCCAACGAUCUGUAGCUGGUCUGAGAGGCCGACCAGCCACACUGGAACGGAGACACGGGCCAGACGCCUACGGGAGGCAGCAGUGGGGAAUUUUGGACAAUGGGCGCAAGCCUGAUCCAGCAAUGCCGCGUGCAGGAUGAAGGCCUUCGGGUUGUAAACUGCUUUUGUACGGAACGAAAAGGCUCUGGUUAAUACCUGGGGCUCAUGACGGUACCGUAAGAAUAAGCACCGGCUAACUACGUGCCAGCCGCCGCAGUAA
RNAcentral lists this ribosomal RNA (498 nucleotides) under uncultured bacterium. RNAcentral describes it as "partial 16S ribosomal RNA". It matches the Rfam family "Bacterial small subunit ribosomal RNA", at positions 30 to 523 of the family's 1533-position model. The record is from RNAcentral.